GUGCCCUAGAGGAGAGGAGCCUUCGGAAACGUGGUCCCUGUCAAGUUUCCCUUGAGAGUCAAAAAAACAAAAGACUGCUGUUUGGCCCCUGCCAGGCAGGACUGUCCUCCAAACCCAGAAAACCACUGAUUGUUGUUCCAUGGCUUUACCUUGGUUUUGCUUGUUCGAGAAAGCCGUACAAAUACCAUCAUGUGGGAAAAUCCUGCUCUGGGCUGCUCACAUGAGGCACAUAACUACCUGGUUCUUAGCUCUUGAACUCGACUCCUGUGUAGAACUUGAUGAUUCAAGGGAAACCAUGGAUCUUCAUGGCCCCAAGGAUGCAGCUGUAGUAAGAUUUUCUUUCAAAUGGAACCAGGAAAAAGAAGAAGACUUUCUAUGACUCAGCAGUGAUUAGCCUCCAACUUUCAAAACAUUUGCAAACUUCUGCGUUUGGAGAGGACACAUAGAUCUCCGUUUGUUUCUAAAGGCAAUACCAGUGGCAACCAGCCAUUUAGGAUGAAAGUGGAACUUGGGUGGAUUUUGCAUCAUGUCAUUUCUGGUGGCAUUUCAAAGUGAAGUGAAGUCCUGGAUUAAAGUGAAACAAAGCAGUGAUGAGAACACCUCCACUGCAUCAGUUUGACUUGGAUAUUACUCUAAAAGCAAAUGAGUACAAGUUGUGCAAAUUGAUGUGUCUUUUACACAAAUGUAUGUGGAAUCUUCUUUUAUUGUUUUCAAAGAGUAACUAUAAAUCACUAGCAAGGUAGACAUUUGCGCCCCAUACCCUUCUCUGUCAUUUACCUGUUACAUGGCAUUAGAAAGGUAGCAGUACUUGUCAUCAACUUGAUUGUCACCUGUACAAACCUGUGUAUGUGCCCACAUACUCUGGAUAUGGCAAGUGAUGUGGCCAAAUGACAAGACCAUGAGUGCUUGGUAAGAACUUGAUGAGUCUGGUAAAAUCCAGACUCAGUCCGUGCCAAGCACCUGCUGUACACAGGACUUACAGAAGGGAAGAGUGGAUGUUGCUAGCCAGGAUAUUUUAUAUUUUGAUUAUAAAGCUAAAAUUUGCAUUUUGAAGAAACAGUGAUGGUCUGUGGGUGAAACUGCUUCAACAGGCCAUACAUGUAGUGUAGUCUUUUAGAUUUUGCUUGAAAACACUUGUGGCACUGAGAAUUCAUUUGUCUCACAAAGAUUCUUAUUCCACUGCACCAAUAGCAUUGAAAGCCCCCAAGUCGCUGUUGGCAAUCUUUCUCUCUAGACCAAAGCAGGGAGAGGUCUCCGCACCCUUUGUGAGAAUUCCUCUGAUACUGAUGGGAGUUAAGGAUGCUAUAUUGUAUAGGCUCCUAUCUUCUAGUCUACAUACGUCAGCUACUGUAAGAUUUGGUGUUCAAAUUCUUUCUAUACAGCCUCCUAUAAAACUCAUCUUAAUCCAAACUUAGCCAAGUAUAAUUUGACUAGAAAUACAUACAAAGAUAAG
Cavia porcellus (domestic guinea pig) is the source of this 1453-nucleotide long non-coding RNA. RefSeq lists it as uncharacterized. Lineage: Eukaryota; Metazoa; Chordata; Mammalia; Rodentia; Caviidae. The transcript has 3 exons. The record is from RefSeq and is a predicted model, not a curated record.